Molecule: transfer RNA, 69 nt
Filed under: Calumma boettgeri
Lineage: Eukaryota; Metazoa; Chordata; Lepidosauria; Squamata; Chamaeleonidae
Description: tRNA-Trp
Source: RNAcentral
AGGAACUUAGGAUUAAACAAACCCGAGGCCUUCAAAGCCCCAAAUAAGAGCCCAACCUCUUAGCUCCUG